Long non-coding RNA from Dermochelys coriacea (leatherback sea turtle), 1722 nucleotides. RefSeq lists it as uncharacterized. The transcript has 2 exons. Lineage: Eukaryota; Metazoa; Chordata; Testudines; Dermochelyidae. The record is from RefSeq and is a predicted model, not a curated record.
UAGUCUCUAAGGUGCCACAGGUACUCCUUUUUCUUUUUGCAGAUACAGACUAACACGGCUGCUACUCUGAAACCUCUAAAUUCACUGUAACUCCUUACUUUUAUAAUGUUUAAAAUGACUAUCCUUUAAAAUCUGUUUUGCUGGACCUGCCUCAGAGAGGCCAACUGUACAAUUUGAGAACCAGUUUUCUAGAAGGACUUAAUAACUUAAUAUGAGGAUCCAGUCCUUCUGAAGACCCUAUGGGUGGUUUUAGAGACAACAGCUUAUAUGUUAUCAGGUGGAACUGGAGAAAGUCUCGCUUCUCUUAAUUGGGAGACACGGUACUUUAGCAGAUAUAGGACACCUUCAAAUAUUUUGUGGAAUAUGAAACAUCCAUGCUUUUUGAACUGGGAUGUUUAGAGCUGUUGUCUCUAAAACCUGUCUGAAACAAUAAGCCUGUUGGAAUGAUGUUUAAUAAUAUAUAGGGACACCAUUUAGUUGUUUGAGUGUGAAGUUUCUUAAUCCUCCUUUUCUAGUUUUCAAUGUAGGUCUGAAAAUUAGACAGGAGUAAUUCUGAACCUUGCACCUGAGAAUGAACUUUGGUUUGAAAGUAUAACAAAUACACUUUCAACAGGGUAUAAAUAAAAUCUGUGUACAGUCUUGGAGCCCUAUAUUUUCAUCUCCCUUAUGUGGACCCGUUAUUCAAUUGGAACUUUUAGGCCCUAGGCUGCAAAUGAAAUUGCAGUUAUGGUUAAGAGUAUAUGUGCAAAAUUUCUACACAGAAAAUAUAAAAAUUUGUAGUGUUCUCACAGUGUGCGGAAGAAACAUUUAAUGAGCACACAGGUAAUACUCUAAGAACUCUGUGUAGUCUGCUAGGGAACUCACUGCAGAUUUAAUUUAUCUGGGAAAAGUGUAAAUAGGCACUAUAGAAAAUCCUUAAAUUUGGGUUUGUCUAAAUAUGAAAAUUAUUCCAGAUUAAGAUAGGCUGUGAAUUUAAAGACCAAUAGCUAUUCCUGAAUAACAUUAUGUAUUGGUAUCAGAGGGAUAGCCGUGUUAGUCUGGAUCUGUAAAAGCAGCAAAGAGUCCUGCGGCACUUUAUAGACUAACAGACGUAUUAGAGCAUAAGCUUUUGUGGGUGAAUACCCACUUCAUCGGAUGCAUGUAGUAUUCACCAACGGAAGCUUAUGCUCCAAUAUGUCUGUUAGUCUAUAAGGUGCUAAAAGACAUUAUGUAUUGGUGUUUCUUAAUCCAGUUCCAAAGUGGAUUAAGAUAAUUUGGAAAAAGACACUCCUAUUCCGGAAUAACUACUGCAUGUAUAGAUAAAUUCUGAGACUAGAGAGAACUAAUGAGAAUUAGAGGUUCGCAAACUCCCAAACUGAUAGAUACAUUUUGCAGUGUCUAUGGAAGCAAAAUAGGGUCUCCAGUGUCCUGGACUAUGCUUUCAAAUAAAAAAAUAAAAUAAUUUGCAAAUAACAAAGCGCGCGGGGCACUUCCGGGAUGGGGGAGGGGCUCAAUGUUCAUACUUUUAGGUUUAGAGGAUUGAAAGGCGAAAAGAGGCGCUUGUGAUUCAAGAAAAUAUAGUAGAACCUCAGAGUUAUGAACACCAGUCGAGCUGACAGGUGAAUUACAUACAUACCUCAUGUGGAACUGGAAGUACCCAGUCAGGCAGCAGAGACAAAACAAACAAAUGCUUGUACAGUAUAGAGCUCUGUUAAAUAUAAAAUUCUAAAAAAAGGGAAAGUU